Molecule: non-coding RNA, 435 nt
Organism: Sinocyclocheilus grahami
Lineage: Eukaryota; Metazoa; Chordata; Actinopteri; Cypriniformes; Cyprinidae
Source: the annotation of a RefSeq genome assembly
AUGAGUCUUCAUUCUGUCAUUCUGCUUUCUGCCUUUGCAUAUGCAACGUAUGGAAAUGAAAUCAAACCAACCAAAUCAGAGGUGUUUGCUGACGAGGGUUCAAUUGCUAAAUUAUCCUGCAGUUAUUCAUCCGCAUUUCGUCUUCACUGGUAUCGCCACUAUCCUGGAUCAGCACCCGAGUUCAUUGUGCUCAUCUCAGACGGUGCAAAACAAGCUCAGGAAUCUUAUGUAGAUUCAAGAUUCAAGACCAAAGUUAUUAAAGACAAAGAACCCCAUGUGGAUCUGGAGAUCUCCUCUGCAUCUAUAUCAGACUCUGCUCUGUACUACUGUGCUCUGGAGCCCACAGUGACAGGAAACACAAGAACACUGCUCUUGUGUUUGUGUUCAAAACGGUCACCUCCAACCAAUCACCUGCAUCUGAAACCAUCAAAGUAA